GAGACACAGCGAGACUCCGUCUCAAAAAAAAAAAAAAACCUGCCCUGAAGGAAUUUAUAAUCUAAUAGGGAGGGACAGAUGAUAAACAAAAGUUAGUAAAUUAUAUAGUAAGUUGGCUCUCCAUAUCCAUGGAUUCCACAUCCAUAGAUUCAACCAAUCAACUGUAGAUCAAAAAUAUUUUUUAAAAAUAAUAAAAAUUGUAAAACUUAAAAACCAUUACAGUAUAACAACUAUUUACAUAGUAUUCACCUCAUAUUAGGUAUUAUAAGUAAUCCAGAGAUGACUUUAAGUAUACAGGAGGAUAUGUGUAGGUUAUGUGCAAUUACUAUACCAUUUUAUAUAACAGACUUGAGUAUCUGGGGAUUUUAGUAUCCAUGGGAGUCCCCAUGGAUACUGAGAGACAACUAUAUAUUAUAAGCUGAUAAAACUGAAUAAAAACAUAAGGGGCAAGAGAGAGUGCUGUAAAUGUGUGUCAGUGAGUGUGUGUGUGUAUGUGUGUAUAUGUAUGUAUAUGGGGAGGGUGCUACAAUUUUAAAUAGAGUAGUCAGGAAAGGGCCCACUGAAAGGGUGUCAUCUGAGGAAAACUGGAAGGAGGUGAGAAAUGAAGCAUUCCAGGUAGAGGGAACAGCAAGUGUACAGGAUCUGUAGCAGGAGCUCAUCUGGUGUGGAACAGCAAGGAGGCCAAUGCGGUUGAAGAGUGAUGAGGGUGUGGGCCAGGCUCGGUGGCUUAUGCCUAUAAUCCCAGCACUUUGGGAGGCCAAGGCAGGCAGAUCACCUGAGGUCAGGAGUUCGAGACCAGGUUGGCCAACGUGGUGAAACCCUGUCUCUACUAAAAAUACAAAAAUUAGCCGGGCGUGGUGGUGGGCACCUGUAAUCCCAGCUAGUUGGGAGGCUAAGGCAGGAGAAUUGCUUGAACCCAGGAGGCAGAGGUUGCAGUGAGCCAAGACCGUGCCAUUGCACUCCAGCCUGGGAAACAAGAACAAAACUACAUCUCAAAAAAAAAAAAAAAAAAAAAAAAAAAAAGAAGACUGAUAAGGGGAGAUGGUUGUAGGAGAUGAAGCCUGAGAGGUAAGAGGAAGCCAGAUCAUGUAGGGCACUGCAGAACAUUCAAGAAGUUUGACUUUUACCCUGAGAUGAGGAAUGACUGGACAGUUUUUGUUUGUUUGUUUGUUUUUUGAGACAGAGUCUUGCACUGUCUCCCAGGCUGGAGUGUGGAGGCGCAAUCUCAGCUCACUGCAACCUCCGCCUCCCGGGUUCAAGCAAUUCUCCUACCUCAGCCUCCCAAGUAGCUGGGAUUACAGGCAUGUGCCACCACAACCAAGUAAAUUUUGUAUUUUCAAUAGAGACAGGUUUCACACUGUUGGCCAGGCUGGUCUUGAUCUCUUGACCUCUGGUGAUUACAGGCGUGAGCCACCAUGUCCGGCCAUGACUGGACAGUUUUAAGGAGGCUUUGACUUAUGUUUAAAAAGGAACAAUCUCUGGGUUUAGAUAGCGGCGAUGGCUGCAGAACUUUGGGAAUAUACUAAGAAACACUGAAUUGCACACUUUAAAAGAAUGAAUUUUAGGCUGGGCGCAAUGGCUCAUGCCUGUAAUCCCAGCACUUUGGGAGGCGGAGGUGGGCAAAUCACGAGGUCAGGAGAUCGAGACCAUCCUGGCUAACAUGGUGAAACCCCGUCUCUACUAAAAAU
This 1688-nucleotide long non-coding RNA is filed under the name Homo sapiens (human). RNAcentral's name for it is "HSALNT0105781". The record is from RNAcentral. Lineage: Eukaryota; Metazoa; Chordata; Mammalia; Primates; Hominidae.